Molecule: RNase P RNA, 420 nt
Filed under: Balneolaceae bacterium
Lineage: Bacteria; Pseudomonadati; Balneolota; Balneolia; Balneolales; Balneolaceae
Description: RNase P RNA component class A
Rfam family: Bacterial RNase P class A
About the family: Ribonuclease P (RNase P) is a ubiquitous endoribonuclease, found in archaea, bacteria and eukarya as well as chloroplasts and mitochondria. Its best characterised activity is the generation of mature 5'-ends of tRNAs by cleaving the 5'-leader elements of precursor-tRNAs. Cellular RNase Ps are ribonucleoproteins.
Source: RNAcentral
UAAGGUUUCCGGGUAAUCGCUUUCCGAAAUAUCGGAAGGAGGAAAGUCCGAACACCAACGAGAACUGUGCUUCCUAACAGGAAGGUCUUCCCGAUUUUUCGGGGGGAACAGAUAGUGCCACAGAAAACAGACUUCCUUUUGAAGUGGAGAGGGACGGGGUAACCCUCCUUCGCUGAAGCUUCGGAGGGUAAAGGUGAAAAGGUGAGGUAAGAGCUCACCGUCUCGCCUGGUGACAGGCGGGUGCAUGGUAAACCUCACAGGGUGCAAGUUCACGCAGAUUGUGCGCCUCUCGUCGCUAUACAAUCGGGUGGAACGCUCAGAUCUUUCGGGUGACCGAAAGGCCAGAUAAAUGAUUACCGCCCAGCCCCGACUUCUGUCGGGAACGGGUUACAGAAUUCGGCUUACAGGAAACUUUACAAC